Lolium rigidum is the source of this 271-nucleotide long non-coding RNA. RefSeq lists it as uncharacterized. NCBI's taxonomy places the organism in Eukaryota, Viridiplantae, Streptophyta, Magnoliopsida, Poales, Poaceae. The record is from RefSeq and is a predicted model, not a curated record. The transcript is spliced from 3 exons.
CGGAAUCUCCAGAUUCGUGCUCGACCUGAGCCUCUCCGCCAUGGUUGUGUGAGAAAGUUCAUCUGCUUCCUGUGAUCCUUCUUGUUGCCGCGCGCCUGAUACUGUUCAUCGAUCCAUCCACAUAUGGGAUUCAGCCCAGAUCUUACCAGCGUGUCGGGCCAGGCUCCGGCCCGGUCCCUCCCCAACGCAGCAGCAGACCUGAUCCGCUCCAGCACAGUGCAGCAUUUGAUUCUUCCCGGAUAGGAUCGCGAAGUGGUGAUGUGAGAUACGA